This 379-nucleotide unclassified non-coding RNA is filed under the name fungal sp. Its description in RNAcentral is "partial internal transcribed spacer region". Lineage: Eukaryota; Fungi. The record is from RNAcentral.
AAGUCGUACGUAUCCAACGUUUAUACCCCUGUGAACCUACAGCCCUAUUCUUGUGCGCCCGUUCGGACAGCAAUCCCUAGUAAUUCAUUGUUGAUCAGAGUUUGAUUUAGGGACCUCUGUACGGAAGGACUGCGGUUUGCGUGCAAUUGAGUGGUAGCGCAAGCAUCCUGGUGCCUUCUAGACGGUUAUCGUGUGGAAGUGACGAUAACGUUACCGUGUGUCAGUGACGGUAACCUGUCAACGAGGUGACUCCUAAACACGUUUGCUAGAGGUCCACACGACCGGCAACCGGGAUCCCCUCGCAAGAAUUUAGCGUGCACCUAACGGUCGUACGCACCCCCAAACUGAACAACUGUUAACAAUGGAUAUCUUGGUUCUC